UACGUAGGGUGCGAGCGUUGUCCGGAUUUAUUGGGCGUAAAGAGCUCGUAGGCGGUUUGUCGCGUCGGCCGUGAAAUCUCCACGCUUAACGUGGAGCGUGCGGUCGAUACGGGCAGACUUGAGUUCGGUAGGGGAGACUGGAAUUCCUGGUGUAGCGGUGAAAUGCGCAGAUAUCAGGAGGAACACCGGUGGCGAAGGCGGGUCUCUGGGCCGAUACUGACGCUGGAGGAGCGAAAGCGUGGGGAGCGAACAGG
Molecule: ribosomal RNA, 254 nt
Filed under: uncultured bacterium
Lineage: Bacteria
Description: partial 16S ribosomal RNA
Rfam family: Bacterial small subunit ribosomal RNA
Source: RNAcentral